This 267-nucleotide ribosomal RNA is filed under the name uncultured bacterium. RNAcentral describes it as "partial 16S ribosomal RNA". It matches the Rfam family "Bacterial small subunit ribosomal RNA", at positions 524 to 786 of the family's 1533-position model. The record is from RNAcentral.
UACGGGGGGAGCAAGCGUUGUUCGGAUUUACUGGGCGUAAAGGGCGCGUAGGCGGUCGUGACAAGUCACUUGUGAAAUCUCCGGGGCUUAACUCGGAACGGUCAAGUGAUACUGUCGGACUAGAGUACAGAAGGGGCAACUGGAAUUCUCGGUGUAGCGGUGAAAUGCGUAGAUAUCGAGAGGAACACCUGCGGCGAAGGCGGGUUGCUGGGCUGAUACUGACGUGAGGCGCGAAAGCCAGGGGAGCGAACGGGGAUUAGAACCUAC